This 305-nucleotide ribosomal RNA is filed under the name uncultured bacterium. Its description in RNAcentral is "bacterial SSU rRNA". It matches the Rfam family "Bacterial small subunit ribosomal RNA", at positions 334 to 636 of the family's 1533-position model. The record is from RNAcentral.
AUCCCCUACGGGAGGCAGCAGUGAGGAAUAUUGGUCAAUGGGAGAGAUCCCGAACCAGCCAAGCCGCGUGAGGGAAGACGGCCCUAUGGGUUGUAAACCUCUUUUGUCGGAGAACAAAACCCGGGACGUGUCCCGGACUGCGUGUAUCCGAAGAAAAAGCAUCGGCUAACUCCGUGCCAGCAGCCGCGGUAAUACGGAGGAUGCGAGCGUUAUCCGGAUUUAUUGGGUUUAAAGGGAGCGUAGGUGGACAGUUAAGUCAGUUGUGAAAGUUUGCGGCUCAACCGUAAGAUUGCAGUUGAUACUGG